GACGAACGCUGGCGGCGUGCCUAAUACAUGCAAGUAGAACGCUGAAGGAGGAGCUUGCUCUUCUGGAUGAGUUGCGAACGGGUGAGUAACGCGUAGGUAACCUGCCUGGUAGCGGGGGAUAACUAUUGGAAACGAUAGCUAAUACCGCAUAACAGUAGAUGUUGCAUGACAUUUGCUUAAAAGGUGCAAUUGCACCACUACCAGAUGGACCUGCGUUGUAUUAGCUAGUUGGUGGGGUAACGGCUCACCAAGGCGACGAUACAUAGCCGACCUGAGAGGGUGAUCGGCCACACUGGGACUGAGACACGGCCCAGACUCCUACGGGAGGCAGCAGUAGGGAAGCUUCGGCAAUGGACGGAAGUCUGACCGAGCAACGCCGCGUGAGUGAAGAAGGGUUUCGGAUCGUAAAGCUCUGUUGUAAGAGAAGAACGAGUGUGAGAGUGGAAAGUUCACACUGUGACGGUAUCUUACCAGAAAGGGACGGCUAACUACGUG
RNAcentral lists this ribosomal RNA (495 nucleotides) under uncultured bacterium. RNAcentral's name for it is "partial 16S ribosomal RNA". It matches the Rfam family "Bacterial small subunit ribosomal RNA", at positions 28 to 507 of the family's 1533-position model. The record is from RNAcentral.